AUGUGGCCUUGUGGAGCGGACGAUUCAUGGCAGCACUCUCUCCUUCACUGUAACAUGGCAAGAUGCAUAUGGGCGCUGGAAGACCCGGACCUUGCUGAUGUUUUUCACGACGUAAGGGAACCGGAAGCCAAAAGGUGGAUAUUUACACUAAUUGACAGCCUGCAACAUGAUGAUUUCGUCAGGGUUAUGGUGACAUUGUGGGCUAUCUGAUACGCCCGAAGAAAGGGGACACAAGCUCCACCAGCGGCAAGGGCACCCCGCCCGUGCAGAACGCCUCCGGCAGCAGGAUUUGCUAAGAUCAAAGUGGACGGAGCUACUUCCAGGAGUUCAAACGGAGGAUCUUUUAGUGCCGUGUGCAGGGAUGAAACAGGGAAGUUCAUGGGCGCGUCAGCUAUCAGAUGCGUUGGCAUAACUGACCUAGCAGCUUUGGAGGCGCUAGCCUGCCGAGAAGCCCUUUCAUUGGCCCAGGAUCUUUCUCUAACACAUGUGAUGAUAGCAUCAGACUGCCAAGAGGUUGUUACAAAUAUCAAAAUCGAUGCAGGAGGCUUGUAUGGCAGCAUCGUGAAGGAGAUCAAAUCAACUUCAGCUCAGUUCACGUCUUGUACUUUCAUUUUCGAGGGACUUGAGUCUAAUAUUGAGGCACAUAGCCUCGCUAAGCACACUCUAGGACUUUCUUUAGGACGCCAUUUGUGGCUCCUCGAACCUCCAGACCGUAAUUGUAUCCCAAUGUAUUUGGACUAUGAUCAUUAA
RNAcentral lists this ribosomal RNA (750 nucleotides) under Triticum aestivum (bread wheat). RNAcentral describes it as "partial small subunit ribosomal RNA". Lineage: Eukaryota; Viridiplantae; Streptophyta; Magnoliopsida; Poales; Poaceae. The record is from RNAcentral.